RNAcentral lists this ribosomal RNA (253 nucleotides) under uncultured bacterium. Its description in RNAcentral is "partial 16S ribosomal RNA". It matches the Rfam family "Bacterial small subunit ribosomal RNA", at positions 524 to 776 of the family's 1533-position model. The record is from RNAcentral.
UACGUAGGUGGCAAGCGUUGUCCGGAAUUAUUGGGCGUAAAGCGCGCGCAGGUGGUUUCUUAAGUCUGAUGUGAAAGCCCACGGCUCAACCGUGGAGGGUCAUUGGAAACUGGGGAGCUUGAGUGCAGGAGAGAAGAGUGGAAUUCCACGUGUAGCGGUGAAAUGCGUAGAGAUGUGGAGGAACACCAGUGGCGAAGGCGACUCUUUGGCCUGUAACUGACACUGAGGCGCGAAAGCGUGGGGAGCAAACAGG